GUGCUUGCUUUGGCAGCCUGUAUACUAAAAUUGGAAUGAUACAGAGAAGAUUAGCAUGGCCCCUGCAAGAGAAUGACACGCAAAUUUGUGAAGUGUUCUAGGUUUAA
Molecule: small nuclear RNA, 107 nt
Filed under: Dasypus novemcinctus (nine-banded armadillo)
Lineage: Eukaryota; Metazoa; Chordata; Mammalia; Cingulata; Dasypodidae
Source: RNAcentral